UUGUCUGUCCCACUUCAUGCCUGUUGUUCCAGUAACAAUGCAGGCUGUGAGGACAGACUGAGAGUAACCCUGUCUAUUAUGGAGAGCUGUUUAAAGGAUAUCUACAGACUCUUAAAGGCUUGACAGGACAAA
Molecule: non-coding RNA, 132 nt
Organism: Protopterus annectens (West African lungfish)
Lineage: Eukaryota; Metazoa; Chordata; Ceratodontiformes; Protopteridae
Product: small Cajal body-specific RNA 11
Exons: 1
Source: RefSeq, a predicted model, not a curated record